This 2730-nucleotide ribosomal RNA is filed under the name Staphylococcus aureus W19225. RNAcentral's name for it is "bacterial LSU rRNA". It matches the Rfam family "Bacterial large subunit ribosomal RNA". The record is from RNAcentral. Lineage: Bacteria; Bacillati; Bacillota; Bacilli; Caryophanales; Staphylococcaceae.
ACUGAAACAUCUUAGUACCCGGAGGAAGAGAAAGAAAAUUCGAUUCCCUUAGUAGCGGCGAGAGAAACGGGAAGAGCCCAAACCAACAAGCUUGCUUGUUGGGGUUGUAGGACACUCUAUACGGAGUUACAAAGGACGACAUUAGACGAAUCAUCUGGAAAGAUGAAUCAAAGAAGGUAAUAAUCCUGUAGUCGAAAAUGUUGUCUCUCUUGAGUGGAUCCUGAGUACGACGGAGCACGUGAAAUUCCGUCGGAAUCUGGGAGGACCAUCUCCUAAGGCUAAAUACUCUCUAGUGACCGAUAGUGAACCAGUACCGUGAGGGAAAGGUGAAAAGCACCCCGGAAGGGGAGUGAAAUAGAACCUGAAACCGUGUGCUUACAAGUAGUCAGAGCCCGUUAAUGGGUGAUGGCGUGCCUUUUGUAGAAUGAACCGGCGAGUUACGAUUUGAUGCAAGGUUAAGCAGUAAAUGUGGAGCCGUAGCGAAAGCGAGUCUGAAUAGGGCGUUUAGUAUUUGGUCGUAGACCCGAAACCAGGUGAUCUACCCUUGGUCAGGUUGAAGUUCAGGUAACACUGAAUGGAGGACCGAACCGACUUACGUUGAAAAGUGAGCGGAUGAACUGAGGGUAGCGGAGAAAUUCCAAUCGAACCUGGAGAUAGCUGGUUCUCUCCGAAAUAGCUUUAGGGCUAGCCUCAAGUGAUGAUUAUUGGAGGUAGAGCACUGUUUGGACGAGGGGCCCCUCUCGGGUUACCGAAUUCAGACAAACUCCGAAUGCCAAUUAAUUUAACUUGGGAGUCAGAACAUGGGUGAUAAGGUCCGUGUUCGAAAGGGAAACAGCCCAGACCACCAGCUAAGGUCCCAAAAUAUAUGUUAAGUGGAAAAGGAUGUGGCGUUGCCCAGACAACUAGGAUGUUGGCUUAGAAGCAGCCAUCAUUUAAAGAGUGCGUAAUAGCUCACUAGUCGAGUGACACUGCGCCGAAAAUGUACCGGGGCUAAACAUAUUACCGAAGCUGUGGAUUGUCCUUUGGACAAUGGUAGGAGAGCGUUCUAAGGGCGUUGAAGCAUGAUCGUAAGGACAUGUGGAGCGCUUAGAAGUGAGAAUGCCGGUGUGAGUAGCGAAAGACGGGUGAGAAUCCCGUCCACCGAUUGACUAAGGUUUCCAGAGGAAGGCUCGUCCGCUCUGGGUUAGUCGGGUCCUAAGCUGAGGCCGACAGGCGUAGGCGAUGGAUAACAGGUUGAUAUUCCUGUACCACCUAUAAUCGUUUUAAUCGAUGGGGGGACGCAGUAGGAUAGGCGAAGCGUGCGAUUGGAUUGCACGUCUAAGCAGUAAGGCUGAGUAUUAGGCAAAUCCGGUACUCGUUAAGGCUGAGCUGUGAUGGGGAGAAGACAUUGUGUCUUCGAGUCGUUGAUUUCACACUGCCGAGAAAAGCCUCUAGAUAGAAAAUAGGUGCCCGUACCGCAAACCGACACAGGUAGUCAAGAUGAGAAUUCUAAGGUGAGCGAGCGAACUCUCGUUAAGGAACUCGGCAAAAUGACCCCGUAACUUCGGGAGAAGGGGUGCUCUUUAGGGUUAACGCCCAGAAGAGCCGCAGUGAAUAGGCCCAAGCGACUGUUUAUCAAAAACACAGGUCUCUGCUAAACCGUAAGGUGAUGUAUAGGGGCUGACGCCUGCCCGGUGCUGGAAGGUUAAGAGGAGUGGUUAGCUUCUGCGAAGCUACGAAUCGAAGCCCCAGUAAACGGCGGCCGUAACUAUAACGGUCCUAAGGUAGCGAAAUUCCUUGUCGGGUAAGUUCCGACCCGCACGAAAGGCGUAACGAUUUGGGCACUGUCUCAACGAGAGACUCGGUGAAAUCAUAGUACCUGUGAAGAUGCAGGUUACCCGCGACAGGACGGAAAGACCCCGUGGAGCUUUACUGUAGCCUGAUAUUGAAAUUCGGCACAGCUUGUACAGGAUAGGUAGGAGCCUUUGAAACGUGAGCGCUAGCUUACGUGGAGGCGCUGGUGGGAUACUACCCUAGCUGUGUUGGCUUUCUAACCCGCACCACUUAUCGUGGUGGGAGACAGUGUCAGGCGGGCAGUUUGACUGGGGCGGUCGCCUCCUAAAAGGUAACGGAGGCGCUCAAAGGUUCCCUCAGAAUGGUUGGAAAUCAUUCAUAGAGUGUAAAGGCAUAAGGGAGCUUGACUGCGAGACCUACAAGUCGAGCAGGGUCGAAAGACGGACUUAGUGAUCCGGUGGUUCCGCAUGGAAGGGCCAUCGCUCAACGGAUAAAAGCUACCCCGGGGAUAACAGGCUUAUCUCCCCCAAGAGUUCACAUCGACGGGGAGGUUUGGCACCUCGAUGUCGGCUCAUCGCAUCCUGGGGCUGUAGUCGGUCCCAAGGGUUGGGCUGUUCGCCCAUUAAAGCGGUACGCGAGCUGGGUUCAGAACGUCGUGAGACAGUUCGGUCCCUAUCCGUCGUGGGCGUAGGAAAUUUGAGAGGAGCUGUCCUUAGUACGAGAGGACCGGGAUGGACAUACCUCUGGUGUACCAGUUGUCGUGCCAACGGCAUAGCUGGGUAGCUAUGUGUGGACGGGAUAAGUGCUGAAAGCAUCUAAGCAUGAAGCCCCCCUCAAGAUGAGAUUUCCCAACUUCGGUUAUAAGAUCCCUCAAAGAUGAUGAGGUUAAUAGGUUCGAGGUGGAAGCAUGGUGACAUGUGGAGCUGACGAAUACUAAUCGAUCGAAGACUUAAUCAA